This 209-nucleotide ribosomal RNA is filed under the name uncultured bacterium. RNAcentral's name for it is "partial 16S ribosomal RNA". It matches the Rfam family "Bacterial small subunit ribosomal RNA", at positions 524 to 732 of the family's 1533-position model. The record is from RNAcentral.
GACAGAGGGUGCAAACGUUGUUCGGAAUUACUGGGCGUAAAGCGAGUGUAGGCGGUUUCCUAAGUCAGGUGUGAAAGCCCCGGGCUCAACCCGGGAAGUGCACUUGAAACUGGGAGGCUAGAGUAUCGGAGAGGUUGGUGGAAUUCUCGGUGUAGAGGUGAAAUUCGUAGAUAUCGAGAGGAACACCGGAGGCGAAGGCGGCCGACCUG